This 2754-nucleotide long non-coding RNA is filed under the name Lathyrus oleraceus (garden pea). RNAcentral's name for it is "Pisum sativum (pea) long non-coding RNA (PSAT_LNC000905)". Lineage: Eukaryota; Viridiplantae; Streptophyta; Magnoliopsida; Fabales; Fabaceae. The record is from RNAcentral.
CAAAAUUACAAUCAAUAUUCCAAAAUUCAACAAAGUAACAUCAUGUGAACCUUGCUUAGACUUUAUUCACGUCCAAAACUACAAUCAAUCAUGAUUUUCAUCCGUAUUUUUGGAAGAAAAAAAAUUCAUAAAUCUUCAAUUAAACAAAUACAAAGCAAACUUCAUAACUCAUAUCAUAAGUGAUUGUGUUUAUAAAUGGAGAGAAGAAGUUUCAAACUAAGAAUCACGGGCCAGGUGACUAAUUUGUGUACUUCAAGUGUGGGGUUUCUGCUGCACCUGCUGAUAUAAGUUACUCCAUGGAAUCAAGGUGGAGAGAUAUCAAAAUAUAUAAAAGCUAACCGCAUUGCUGCUGCGCUUGACCACAUCACUGCCACAACAAACAAAUUUAAUACUAUGGGUUUUAUAUAGAAAUAGGAUAACAUUGUGAAUUUGUGUAAUAUGCUACAUAUUAGAUCUCUCAAUUAUGGUUUGAAUACAAUCAUAUACAGGAGUAAUCAGAGACUAAUUAUGAGCUACUGGCAUGCUCAUAACCUAACAAUCAUAGCUAGUGAGCCCCUGGUUAUUUAUAAAUAACUAUAUAAAUUCUAACAUGAAUGUUUCACUUAAUAACUUUAAACCAAAAGUUUUCAUUUCAACAACCAAACAUCAAAGAAGAAUGAAUGAUUCAAAGAUGAACUAGAAACCAAUCAAUUUUACUAAGUUUUCAUUUCAACAACCAAACAUCAAAGAAGAAUGAAUGAUUCAAAGAUGAACUAGAAACCAAUCAAUUUUACAUUUGUACCAAAAACACAAAAAUACACUUGUACCAAAAAGAAACAAAAAAAAGCAAACACUAAAUUUCAAACACAAAAAUACACUAAUUUUCCCACAAUGUAGUAGCAUUUUGUCUUCCUCAACAUUAACGUUGAUUGAAAUAGUUUUUAAACCCUGGAAACAGGUUACCAAUUGUACUACUUACCACUGUCCACAAUUCCUUUGUAAUUUAUGUCACAUGGGCAAAGCUCAUGACAUGGGAUUUAAUAUCAUGUCUUGUACAUGUGAUGAACUUUAUUAAAUUUUUCUGACACACUCCUUGACAUGAAAAUCUCAUUGGCUUCAACUAGUGUCUAUAACUAUUGUUCAUUAAUUUAUCUAAAUGUUUUUAUUCACCUACUAUCUAUAACUAUGUUCAUAAAUUUAUCUAAAUGUUUUUAGUGGCAUAUUCCUCCCAGUUUGAAGUUUGAAUUGGUUUAUUUGGUAGACUUUUAGUGUCUAUUGUCAAGAUUUUUACACCUAGUUCGUCAUUCACUAUGGCAGCCUCGGUGGCACAGUGCUUAUACAGACAUUGUCCAACCGGGAACUAACUAGUCCGAUGAAUUUUUUUUAUAACUAUGUUCAUAUGCACUUGUUAGUUUAUAUUUUUACAUGGAGAAAAAUGGUUAGGAUAUGGUAAUGUUAUAUAAAAAAAUGGUUUAAUAUAGUUACUCAUCAAAAGAACACUUUAAGUUUGUAAGAGACAAAAAUUACCAAAAAACUACUGUGUGAGGAUGGACUUAGUAUGAGUUCAGCAAGAACAUCAAACCUAAACUUAGCUGAAGUAAUUGUUUUGAAGAGUUUCAAUAUAAAAUAGAAAGAUUUUGUUUUACCAUUGGCCAUUUUGUAAGGGUUCUGUGUCAAUAUUAAGAAGUCAUUAGUUUAGCUUUAUAAGAGCUGAAGCACAAACAGAGUUAAAGAGUUCAUACAAGUAAGAUAUUACAUUUAUGAACAUAGAUUACACAAAUAAACUCAACAACAACCACGCCUUUAAAUUACCAAAGCAACAUUAACUCACUUUAUACGGCGUUGCUUAUUCUUAACAUCAUCAAAAAACUUAUGGACAUCUGCAACAGUAAUUGGCUUGGAGGAGUCUGCAGAUUCGUGUCAUGAAACAUGACAACAACAAAUUAAAAUGAUUAAAUAAAGAUGUGAUUAAUGCACUCAUAAUCAAUAUUUCAACGUGUCUCUUUAAGGAUGAUGGAUAUUACACUAACUGUAACACCGCUUUUAAGUUCAAAGAUAGCAUCCAAUACCUCAAGUGCCCAUUUUGGGGAGAAAAUAGAGAAAUGUAUUGUGGCAGUGUUGCUAAUCCUAACAUGAAACUCACGUGGGAAGAUAAAGUUCCAAAGAUCACAAUCAAUAGUAGAUUCAUAAACUAGAGUAAACUAACCCAUUUUAAAAGAGAAUAACAAUACUGGAUGAAAUUUAAAGGAGAUAUUAUAAGAAACUUAAAGGAAACUCUUACCUGGGCAACGAAUCGAUGAAUCAUAAAAGCUUGAAGUGAAAAAUCAUUUAUAUUAGAGUUUUCAUUCACAACGUGCUAUGACCCUUGUAGCUCUUAGGGGAAUCAAUGUCGUCGUCGAGAGACUUACUUCAAAGCUUUGAUUGAGAUGAUUCCUUGAAACCCUAAAAUCCUAAUUCCGAGUUGCAACUUGAAGGGUUUGAGAAGAAGGAGAAGGGAACAAAGGGUUAGGGUUGCGAUUUGGUAGAAGAUACACUGGACAAUCUUUGUUUCAGCUUCUGAAAAAUCAUACGAUGGAGGUUUUGAUGAGUUUGGGAGGGAAGAAUUUUCACAUUUAGGGCUUUGAUUUUUCACUUGAUAUUUGUUUCAGCACCGAACCGAAGUAAUUUUCUUUUACGCUGAUGAAAGGGAACGGCUGAAACGUAAUUACUUUUUUACGCUGAAGAAAAUGGAACUACUGAUAUUGUUUUAACGUGAGGUCUCAGUUCGAUUCCAAC